RNAcentral lists this transfer RNA (71 nucleotides) under bacterium. RNAcentral's name for it is "tRNA-Pro". It matches the Rfam family "tRNA". Rfam says of the family: Transfer RNA (tRNA) molecules are approximately 80 nucleotides in length. The record is from RNAcentral.
CGGGGUGUAGUAUAAAGGUAGUACGCAGGCUUCGGGAGCCUGUAGACUGGGUUCAAUUCCCAGCACCCCGA